This is a long non-coding RNA of Bubalus bubalis (water buffalo), 1635 nucleotides long. RefSeq lists it as uncharacterized. The record is from RefSeq and is a predicted model, not a curated record. NCBI's taxonomy places the organism in Eukaryota, Metazoa, Chordata, Mammalia, Artiodactyla, Bovidae. The transcript has 2 exons.
UUGCUCACCUUCUGUUUUUCUUAGCCUCAAUCACUUCUUCUUUGAUGUCAGUCCUUACGGAACCUGGGCACUGCAGGUACUUUUCAGGAUGAAGUGUGGAGUGGGGAUGUGGGCAGAUGAAGCCCAUUGAUGGUGAUGAGAAGAAGGAAGGGAAGGACUUCCUGGUGGUCCAGUUGGCUAAGACCUCUACACUGCCAAUGCAAGGGGCAGGGGUUCGAUCCCUGGUUGGGGAGAACCAAGAUCCCGCAUGCCACGUGGUGUGGCCAAAAAAAAAAAAAAGUGGGGAGUGGAGUGGGGCAAAGGACUCAGGAAGUCUCUUUAGACCCAAACUAGGAUCAAUCUGGGUGAAGCUUUAGCAUCGCUGAGUAGGGUGGCCAGCCUGAUCCCCCUCCUACCACUAGGGAAUGGAUUUGAAGCUAGAGAUUUGCCCCUUGGUGUUCCCGGUAACUCCGGUAAAGCCAGGCUACAUUUAAUGAGAAAUUACUGCAGUGUCCGGCACCAUCUGCGGGGCUUUAGAUGGAUUGUUUUGGCAUUUUUUUUUUUAACAUCUUCACGACCCUAUGUAUCCAUUUUACAACUGAGGCCCAGAAAAGCUACUAACCUUGUCAAGGUGACACAUAAAAAAAAUAUUCCGAUGCCGGACCCACCAAUGCUUACCUCGCCCCAGGGGAAUAUUGGAAACUCACUGAAGCAAAAGGCUAGGAGGUCCCUCCCUGGUUAUCCUGUAUUUUUGAUUAAGGCUAGAGAAAGUCUCAUUUAGAUCCUCCAACGCGCUUUAGAGUUUCAAUAAAAGGCCACCUGAAGCAGAAACAGGAAAAGGAGGGCAGGAGGGGGGCCCGACCGCUCCCCAGUCCUAGGACAAAGCACCUUCUCCCCCCGGGCAGGGGCGACAUGCCCUACCCCGCCGUCUGGACCAAGCGGGAUGUGCAUUCCCUAUCCCAGUGUGUUCCCAGCAAUUCGCUACCUGUCAUCAAUACUCUGCUUUUUUUUUUUUUUUUUUUGCUGCCACCAACACACGAUAAUCUGAUCUGUAAGGGAAAAAAGGGAGUGGAGGAUCUGUAGAAACAAACAUCAUCAAAUGUCCUGGCUCUGUUCCCGGCGCUUCAAUAAAAAUGCAGGAAGGAAGAAAUUGCAGAGAUGAGCCCCGGCGGCCAGGCUCCCUGAGUCUCCAUUAAGUCAUUAAGAGAGGACUUUGCAGCAUCAGAGCCAAUCGCCAAGAUGCUGCCUCGGAGGGCAGCCCUCGCAUUGGAGGGUCCAGCUCGGUGACACAGAGGGAUGAGCCAUCUGACUUAGGUUUACUGCACUGAAGGCCUGGGCUUGGAAUCGUACUACCCACGGCAUCUCUCAUUUGGGCAACUAGUGACCCGAAUCAUACAUACUCUUGGGAAGGUGGGAUGUGGGGCCAGGGGACCUGCUUCUGGGAUCUUCUACAGAGAUGACAAAACACCAGAGCUGAACAAGAAUUCGUGGGGAUCAUUCCUACGGGCAACCAAGCCAAACAAGCCAUCUCUCUAAUCAAAAUACCACCUCUUGUUCUUCUGAAAACUUCUUCUGAAAAGCAGGAAAUGGAAUUAUAAGCGGGUAGGGGUAUGGAAAAAGAUUAAAAUGAAAAAUAAACUUGAAACAUACCUAGCA